AUUGAACGCUGGCGGCAGGCCUAACACAUGCAAGUCGAGCGGAUGAAGGGAGCUUGCUCCUGGAUUCAGCGGCGGACGGGUGAGUAAUGCCUAGGAAUCUGCCUGGUAGUGGGGGAUAACGUCCGGAAACGGGCGCUAAUACCGCAUACGUCCUGAGGGAGAAAGUGGGGGAUCUUCGGACCUCAAGCUAUCAGAUGAGCCUAGGUCGGAUUAGCUAGUUGGUGGGGUAAAGGCCUACCAAGGCGACGAUCCGUAACUGGUCUGAGAGGAUGAUCAGUCACACUGGAACUGAGACACGGUCCAGACUCCUACGGGAGGCAGCAGCGGGGAAUAUUGGACAAUGGGCGAAAGCCUGAUCCAGCCAUGCCGCGUGUGUGAAGAAGGUCUUCGGAUUGUAAAGCACUUUAAGUUGGGAGGAAGGGCAGUAAGUUAAUACCUUGCUGUUUUGACGUUACCAACAGAAUAAGCACCGGCUAACUUCGUG
Molecule: ribosomal RNA, 484 nt
Filed under: uncultured bacterium
Lineage: Bacteria
Description: partial 16S ribosomal RNA
Rfam family: Bacterial small subunit ribosomal RNA
Source: RNAcentral